This 497-nucleotide ribosomal RNA is filed under the name uncultured bacterium. Its description in RNAcentral is "partial 16S ribosomal RNA". It matches the Rfam family "Bacterial small subunit ribosomal RNA", at positions 28 to 507 of the family's 1533-position model. The record is from RNAcentral.
GAUGAACGCUGGCGGCGUGCCUAAUACAUGCAAGUCGAGCGAACGGAUGAGAAGCUUGCUUCUCUGAUGUUAGCGGAGGGCGGGUGAGUCACGCGAGGAUCACCUACCUAUAAGACUGGGAUAAUUUCGGAAAACCGGCGAUAAUACCGGAUAAUAUUUUGAACCGCAUGGGUCAAAAGUGAAAGACGGUCUUGCUGUCAGUACUAGAUGGAUCCGCGCUGCAUUAGCUAGUUGGUAAGGUAACGGCUUACGACGGCAACGAUGCAUAGCCGACCUGUGAGCGUGAUCGCCCGCCCUGGAGCUUAGACACGCUCCAUACUCCUACGGUAGGCAGCAGUAUGGAAUCGUCCGCAACGGUCGAGAGCCUUACGGAGCAAGGCCACGUGAGUGAUGAAGGUCUUCGGUUCGUAAUGCCCUGUUAUGAGUUAUGAACAGAUUUGGAAGGAACUGAGCACAGCUUGACGGUACCUAAUAAGAAAGCCACGGCUAACUACGUG